This is a long non-coding RNA of Phoenix dactylifera (date palm), 1204 nucleotides long. RefSeq lists it as uncharacterized. The record is from RefSeq and is a predicted model, not a curated record. NCBI's taxonomy places the organism in Eukaryota, Viridiplantae, Streptophyta, Magnoliopsida, Arecales, Arecaceae.
UCACUAGCCAUCCUUUCUUCUCUGGUGCCUUUCUCUCCAUUCGUUUUUUUGGUAAAUCGGAGCUGGCGACUCCUUAUUGUGUAACCUAUUUUUAAGAGCCAACCAUGUGAAGAUGUCCGCUUUUUCUUUUUUUCUUUUUUUUUGUUUUUGGUACACCGAUGUCUCACACAAUACGUAUAUGAGUACAACCAAUAAAAUUAAAAAAAAUAGCGAAAAGAUUAAAAAACAUCCGUUUGUGUCACCCAAAAAGAUCUACUAGAGUGAUGCGCCGCGAAGAAGGGCAUCCAGUCAGCUGUACUGUUCGAUUUCCGAUAAACAUAGGUGGCUCGAAAGAAGCCAUAACCCCCAGCGAUCAUACGGAUGUCGUGAAGUAAAGACUGUCCGUUCGUCACAGUGCACCGAUCUUAAAUCUUCUCGAUCAUAGUAACCGAUUCUUCUUUAAGAUAAAUUCUCGCAUAAAAGAUGUCUUUCCACACCGCACCAGCUCAGCUGCGAGGAGAUCAAAAUUUGACCAUUUUAUAUAGGUUUAUUCCCACCAAGAAGAACAGCCAUAUGAAGGGAAAUAGAUAGAGAGAUUCGAGCUUUUUGAGUAGAAUAAUUGAGGAGAGAGAGAGAGAGGGCCACGUGACGGGCAGGAGCUACCAAUCAUGACUUGCCCGAAUUAUUUAUGUCUCCAAUCUCUGCCCCACACGAAUCUCAAAGCAAAGAAGGAAACAAAAAAGUUAUUUAUGCCUCGUGUGCUCGGCACGUGAAACGGAAAAAGCCGACUCCUCGGAGUCCGGCUUCUUCCCGGACUCCAACGAGCACAAGGAGUCGAGGGCUCGCCGCUAGAUUCAUCUUAUAAGAGAAACCCCUCUCUCCCCUCUAGCCAUCCUGCCCAAAUCCUCCGAUCAAUCGUCGGCGAAUCCAUGCGAUCUCCUUUGAUGUUUCCGUCAAGCGAACUAGCGAACCACCGCCCAUUCUCGUCGGAAAAGUGGGCCGAGAAGACUUUGUCGGAGACGUGCAAAGCCUAACUAGGCGGGACAAUUCUCAAGACAGAAAGGUGUUGCGCAUGCCACUUUGCUCUCGAGUUUAUAGAUUGAAAAGAUGAUCGGUGUACCUGUUGUUUGAGUCUGUCACAGGUAGAAAAAAAAGUUCUGUACAUAAUUACCUAUAUGAAUAAUAUGUACUUUAUAAUAUGUGUUGCUAAUUUUGAGAUUUGCAU